UGCCAAUGUAGAGACUAAAAUGGACAGAGCAGGAAUCCCUCUCCUCUCCAGGACAUUUGCUGGAGUCUCCAGUGAAAACGCAGUAAACAGCAGGCAGGGUCCGUGGCGCUUGCAGUUCGACCUCAACCUGCAGCCACGGAGAGCUGUGGGGAGAGCGGAGCUGAGGCCCCGGCAGCUCCCGGUCCCGCACCGGGCUCUGCUGGCGGCUGCCGAGUUCCUGAGACUCCUGCCCCCGCCCGUGUGGCGGCGCCUCACUCCGCACCUGCGGCAGCCCCUGCCCACGCCGCCUCCACCCGCCCCGCCGCGGCCCGACUUCGCUAAAGUUAGGGUCCUGAGCUCCAGCACCCACAGCCGCCCGCGCAGAGCCCCGCGCCGCCACCUCGGGUCCCGGACCCUUCGCCGCCGCCCUCGCUCCCGGGAUGGGAAAAUUUGGCGCCGGUGAGCGCGUUCCUCGGCGGCGCGGCGCGGCGCUCUGGGUCCUCCGUGUCAGGGCGUCUGCGGAAGCGGCUCCGGUGGCUCCUCUGCUCCUCGUGGCACGCGGCCCAGACCCCCAGAGUACUGUCCGUGCCGGCACUGCGAGACCGGGCUCCUGCUGCUCCUCUCUCCUCCUGGGGUGCCACCAGCGCCCAACGAUGGGAGAGGUGAGCAGGAGCCUGCGGGAGCGCAAAGUCCCUGAAGACUGGGGGCGACGGCAGCAUGGAACUCCGCGGCAAGAUGAAGAUCCCUGGCUUCCGGAUGGAGGAGCUGCGGCUCACUAGCAGCCUGUCCGCGGAGACGAGGAACCCCACCCACAAAGAUGGUUCCUGGGUGCGACCAGGCAGCGUUGCGAGUAGCAGAGUGGUGAUGGGGUGGGGUCGGGGAGCGAAGCGGGGAGGGAGUGUGAAAGUGGGCUUGGAGGGUCAAGGGCAGAAGGUGAUUUGAGGCUUCUGACUUGAAGUGUGCAAAAUAAAGGCUAUGCUUGCCUUCGCCAGGAAGUAUUUCAUCUCCAAGAUGGGCCUCAGUCCUCCUGGAACUCCCAUCUUCAUCUCUAAGCUCCAAACCUGGAAAAAAACAGCUUUCAAGUAAGAAUGUAAAUCCCUGGUUUCUGUCAAUAUGGCUUGUGAAGCUGAAGACCAGGCAGAGUAGGGUGUUAAAUAAGUGCAUAGUAUGCGGUGGUGAAAGGGUUAACGUUGUAGGGCAGGCUGACAUUGCCCUCAAGGAUUCCCACUUCACUUGCUGUAAGCUUACUCUGGGGGCUCCUGUCUGUGAUGACAAAUGUCUAGGUUAAUUUAAAGGGGACAAAAUCUCAGUGGACAAUCACUGCCUUCUAGUGUGGUCCCUGUCUCUGGCACUGAGGAGAUGGAAGUUACAUGGAGAGCAGGCACCAUCUUUCUGAGAGAGAAAGUGAUUAAAGCUGGGGCUUUACAGCUUGUGAAUUGAUUGUUCUCCAAUGUGAUUUAGUCCUGGAAACAUCAAUAUCCAAGGGACUACAACUCCCUGUUCACUCUUCAUUGCCUGACCACCUCUAGUGA
Molecule: long non-coding RNA, 1511 nt
Filed under: Homo sapiens (human)
Lineage: Eukaryota; Metazoa; Chordata; Mammalia; Primates; Hominidae
Description: non-protein coding lnc-SORCS1-8:1
Source: RNAcentral